Molecule: transfer RNA, 87 nt
Filed under: Candidatus Nomurabacteria bacterium
Lineage: Bacteria; Candidatus Nomuraibacteriota
Description: tRNA-Ser
Rfam family: tRNA
About the family: Transfer RNA (tRNA) molecules are approximately 80 nucleotides in length. Their secondary structure includes four short double-helical elements and three loops (D, anti-codon, and T loops). Further hydrogen bonds mediate the characteristic L-shaped molecular structure. tRNAs have two regions of fundamental functional importance: the anti-codon, which is responsible for specific mRNA codon recognition, and the 3' end, to which the tRNAs corresponding amino acid is attached (by aminoacyl-tRNA synthetases). tRNAs cope with the degeneracy of the genetic code in two manners: having more than one tRNA (with a specific anti-codon) for a particular amino acid; and 'wobble' base-pairing, i.e. permitting non-standard base-pairing at the 3rd anti-codon position.
Source: RNAcentral
GGAGAGAUGGCUGAGUGGCUGAAGGCGCACGCUUGGAAAGCGUGUAUACGUGAAAGCGUAUCGGGGGUUCGAAUCCCCCUCUCUCCG